RNAcentral lists this ribosomal RNA (400 nucleotides) under uncultured bacterium. RNAcentral's name for it is "bacterial SSU rRNA". It matches the Rfam family "Bacterial small subunit ribosomal RNA", at positions 359 to 776 of the family's 1533-position model. The record is from RNAcentral.
GAAUCUUGGACAAUGGGCGCAAGCCUGAUCCAGCCAUGCCGCGUGAGUGAUGAAGGCCCUAGGGUUGUAAAACUCUUUCGCUGGGGAAGAUAAUGACGGUACCCAGUAAAGAAGCCCCGGCUAACUCCGUGCCAGCAGCCGCGGUAAUACGGAGGGGGCUAGCGUUGUUCGGAAUUACUGGGCGUAAAGCGCGCGUAGGCGGAUUGGAAAGUUGGGGGUGAAAUCCCGGGGCUCAACCCCGGAACGGCCUCCAAAACUAUCAGUCUUGAGUUCGAGAGAGGUGAGUGGAAUUGCGAGUGUAGAGGUGAAAUUCGUAGAUAUUCGCAGGAACACCAGUGGCGAAGGCGGCUCACUGGCUCGAUACUGACGCUGAGGUGCGAAAGUGUGGGGAGCAAACAGG